Molecule: long non-coding RNA, 200 nt
Filed under: Theobroma cacao (cacao)
Lineage: Eukaryota; Viridiplantae; Streptophyta; Magnoliopsida; Malvales; Malvaceae
Description: long non-coding RNA (TCAC_LNC001982)
Source: RNAcentral
AACAAGCAAUCAAUAGGAAGAAUUUGGAAAUCAUGAUGCACUUGUUUUGAAAACAAUGCAAUUUGGUUUAAUUUCUUUCUUAAACCCCCUUGUUUUGGACAUUGAUCAGUGGACUCUUAGUAUUGCAAAGACCCAUGCUCAAUCAUGAAGAUAAGGGAGUGAAGGAAAUUAUAUCAGAACCCGAGCAAGGUAGCAACGUG